AAAGAGAGGCCGGGAGGCGGCGGGCGGCCGGCGCGCCCACUGCUCCCUCCCUCCUCCCUGGCCAGUCCCCGUCCUCUCGCGGCGGCUUUCCCUCGGUCCCCUCCGCCUCUCCUCCUUCCCUUCUCCGGCCUCCUCCCUCUUCUCGCCAGCCUCCCUCCUGGCCCUGCGCGCUCUCCCGUGCCUCUCCCUCCGCUCGUGUCAUUGUGUCAUUCUUUCUUUCCUCCUCGCUCCCGUCUCGGUACGUCUGUCCUUCCACUGCCGGCGUGUCCUCGUCCUCUGCGCUGGGGCGACGGGUCUUCGCGUCUUACUCUCUCUCUCCGCCGGCCCCCCUCCCUGUGUGUCCCCUGCCUGCUCCCGGGGCUCCAUCCUCCCCUUCUCCGGCCUCCUCCUUCCGCGUCUCCUCUCUCCUACACCUUCCCCAGGCAGGCUCUGCAGUUCCCGCUCCCUCUCGGCUCUCCCAGCCUCCCUCCCCUCGCUGAGGUUCGGUACCCCCGCCCCCCACUGGGGACUCGAAGGUGAAUCAGACCCAAACGUGCCCUUGCAGCGGGAGCUCACGGUGUGAUGGGAGAGACAGACCCAGCCGCAGACAGUCCCAUUCCGGGGUGAUGGGGUGUGACCGAGGGCGAGACCAGAGGCUGAGAGAGCCGGGGCGGAAGGAAUCCUCGCAGCAGGUCCACCAGGGGGGACCUCCAGAGAAGGCGUGGUUGUGGCGUGACCUCCAAGAACCAGAAGUUAGACCUGAAUUGUUGAGAGGGGCAGCAGUAAGGGCGUUCCAGGCCCAGGGCACAGCUUAAGCAAAGGCCCAAAGGCAGGAAACCAAGGUGAUUCCGGAGGACAACAAAGCAGUCAAGUCUGACUAGAGCGGUAGGGGCCGGGAGCCAAGGAGCGUAGAAGAAGCUGGGAUCCACCGUGAGUCUUGCAAUGUAUUCCCAGUGAUGAGGGCGACGACUGUUUGAAGACACAGAAGAGACAUUGGAAAGAAGACCACGUGAAGAUGCAGACUGAAGCGAGGCGUCUACAUGCCAUGGAGCAGAAAGGAUUCCUACCAGCCUCCUUGAUUUCCAAAUCCCAUCCUCCACAACUGUGGAAUAAGCAAGAAGGGCCAGUCCUGCUUCCACUUCUCAGUCUGGACACUGUGUAUUCGGGCUCUGGAAAUGCUACAGUGCACCGGAGGUGGUUUAGGGCAAAUGCUGUUCUCUGGACCCCACCCUGCCCCUCCCUGGGUCCCCCAGAUGGCACCACAGCUGAGCCUUCAGUAAGUCCUUCCCCCAUGACAUUGACUCAUUGGCUUCUGGGUGAUGGGACAUAAUUUCACUUCUCUGUCCUCCACAUUCGUUUCUGAUUCAGUGUGGGGGACCCUUGGGGCUCCUCCUUCAGCCGCCAUCACGGUAAAGAUAAGGGACUCUUCCAAGGUACCACAGAGGCUUUCUGACAUCUGCCACCUGUGUCUUGAGAUGGGAAUGCGAGGUCUGAGCUUAUCUUUCUUUCUUUCUGUACCAGGGAUUGAACUCAGAGGCACUCAACCACUGAGCCACAUCCCUAGCCCCUUUAUUUUAUUUAGAGACGGGGGUCUCACUGAGUUGCUUAGCAACUCACUUUUCCUGAGGCUGGCUUUGAACUCACGACCCUCCUGCUUCAGCCUCCAGAGCUGCUGGGAUUACAGGUAAGUGCCACCGUGCCAGGCCUUAUCUUUCUUUUUAUUGGUCUCCAAGUCGGUCAGAGGCAUACUGUAGGCCAUAUGGUCUUCAUGGUGGCCUUUGUCACCAAGGUGACUGAGUGUCACUUAAUCUCCCAGUACCUUGCCCUCUGUCUUAUUCCACCACUGGUAACAAUCUGAGCACUCACAACACACUAACAAUGACUAGGGGGCUAAACCGCAGGGUGGGUAUAAAGUAAGAGAAACAGUAAUAUAUCGGAGAUGCACAAAAAAAUUAAAGUGUUCUAAUGUCCUAUCUUGGAGAAGUUUAAAUAAAUUAGCUGCAGAUUGUUAAGUGUAUGCAUUAUAAUUUUAGGAUAACAAACAAAUUUAGAGUAUAAAAGUUCUGAACUAAUAGAAGAGAGAUUAAAUAGGAAGGAAAAAUUUUAGCCCAGCCACCCAAUCCUAGGCCAGAAGGGAGGAGGAAAUAAAAAGGGAAUCACUGAAAAUGGAGUAUUUAACCCCAAAUAUGUUAGUACUUGCAUUAAAUGUAGCAUAAGGGUUCUGUUAAAAUCAGUUUGCCAGGUUGAACCCCCCUCAAAAUCCAAAUGUACGCUUUUCACAGGACACAUCUAAAAUGUAAAGGUACAGGAAUGUUGGACUGAAAAGAUAACAGAGUGGCAAGUGGCCACCAGAGGAGCUGAGGGAUGUAGUAAGGUCAGCUAAAUAGACUGUAAAGAGGGUCGUGUCAGGGUUGGGGGUGUAGCUCAGGGGUAGAGGGCUUGCCUGGCAUGCACGAGGCCCUGGGUUCAAUUCCCAGCACCUCAAAAACAAAAACAAAAAAAAAGGUAGUAUCACAACAAUAAAAGUCUCAGCUCAUCAGGGUAUUAAAAUACUCAAUUGGUACACACUGAAUCGCAGCUCCCCAAAUGUAUAAAACAAAAGUUGACAGAACUUCAAAAAGAAAUAAAAAUCACAGUGGUGAGUUUUUAACAUAUUUCUCUUUAAUGAGUAAAUUGAACAUGAAAAAAAUCAGUGAAUAUAUAGAAAAUCUAAACAAUAUCAUUAAUAAAUUGAUGUAAGCAAAAGACAGACAUUGUACUCGUAACUGUCAGAUACGUACAUUAUUUUUAAUCUGUAAAUAUCCAUCAUCUUUCAUGUGUUAUUAAAGUUCAUGAGGACUAUUAUAAACAUUGACCAGAGACUGAGCCACAGAGAAAAAUCUCAACUUUAUUCACAAGGUUCACAGCAUAGAAAGUGUAUUUUAUGAACACUUUCCAGUUAAGGUAGAAAUUUUAAAAGAUGAUUGGAUCUUGAAGGUUUGGAAAUUAAUAAAUCACUUUAGAAAUUCUUGGGUCAGCUAUGCAGUCAUAUUGGAGACUAGAAAACAGUUUGAGGGUAUUAAUAGCUUAAAAUGCUUAUUAUUGGAAGACAAAUAAGCCAGAUUAAAUUAGGCAUUUCUUCUCAAGGGAUAAAUAAAAAUAAAGUAGAAAGAAAUAAUAAGUAAAUAAUAAAAAUUUUAAAACCCAUAAACCAGAAUCAACAGAGCUCUUUUCUUUGAAAGAGUAAUAAAUUGAUAAACCUCUAGUGAGUCUAAUCUCAAUGAAAAGAUAGAAGGCACAUUUGGCUAAUGUCACGAACAUAAAAGGACAUAGCCACAGAUAUUGCAUGCAUUGAAAAAUAAGAAAAUAAUGUUUUAAACAAUUUUAUAUAAAUGCCUUUGAAAUUUAGAUUAAAUGUAUAAGUUUUCUAAAAUAGAUAGACAUGAAUUUCUGAAGUAUUUAGGACAACAACGUCAGAAAAAUACAGAAAACCUGAAUGGUUUUAUAACUGUAGAGAAGAAUCAGGUAAAAAUCAUCUCACAAGGAAAACUCUAGGUCCCAAGGGUUUAACCAGCAAAUCGUAUCAAAACUCAAGGGAGAAACAAAGAAUCCCUUCUUCUCCAAAUGCUUUGCUUAUUUUUGGAGGCUAAUGUGAAAUUUAUACCAAAACUCAACAGAAGUUAAUCAGGCAAAUAUGGUGUGAAUAGUAAACCAAAAUUAGCAAGUUAAAUUGAUUUAAAUAUCAAUAGGUGAAUACGUCAUAGCAGAAAUGUAUUUGCUCAGGUGGGUGUGGUGGUAAUUUUCAUUGGCCUAUAAUCCCAGUGGCUCCGGAGGCUGAGGCAGGAGGAUUGCAAGUUCAAAGCCAGCCCCAGCAACUUAGUGAGGCCCUAAAGAACUUAGCAAGACUCUAUGUCUAAAUGUAAUAUAAAAAAAGGCUGGAGGAGCGGCUCACUGGUUAAGGACCCCGGGGUUCAAUCCCCAGGUACCAAAAGAAAAAUGUUUUUGCUCAGUCUUAUCAGGCACACUUCAGGUGCUCAAAAGCGACCUGCGGUCAGUGGCCACAGCACUGGACAGCAGAGAGAACAUGGCCAUCAUUGUAAAAAGCACUACUAGACACUCUAUACAUGAGAAUCAUGGAGCUAUGGAGCAAAACAGUAAAACUCACACAGAGCAAAAAUGGGGAAAAGGCAUUCUCUGACAAUAGACCAAAGAGAAAAUCAAAAUCAGUAUUGCAGAAUACCUAGAAGAAAAUGUAUCAAGCAACAAUAGAAUACAGUAAUCUCCACUGCUAAAGAAACGUCAGUCAUUGGCAGUAGUGGUGAGACCCGGAAGUCUACGCGUGAAUCCUCAGAGCGAGGCAGAGUCCCACAGGGGCCAUUGCUCUGCAAGUGCCAGGAAAGGUACCUGGACAGGAAAUGAAGGUGCAGUAUAAAUAAGAGCCACGAAAAGACGGGACUGUCAACUUUCACAGACAAUAUGAUCAUCUACCUAAAAAACCCAAGAAUUUACAGAAAAAUCUUAGAAUUCAUAACCAAGUUGUUUGAAUUAGCAGACACAGCUCUGCAUACUAAUCAGGAUCUUAUAAUGAAUCAACAAGUAGAAUUCGAUCCCUGUCUCACACCAUACACAAAGCCAUUCCAGAUGGGGUCACAUGAUUUUGAGAUGAUUUAAAUAUAAAUUAUUUUGCAUUGAAAUUUUCCAUGGUUAAUUUUUUAGGUCAUUGAUUUUCAUAAAUUAAUUUUACAUCAACUUGGGGUGAUUUGCAAGUCUGGACCUUUGUGUUUGCCACAACUGGGUGAGGGCAAGGGUGCUCCUGGUGUCUACUGCGUGAAGCCAGGGGUGUGCUAGGCACCCUACCAUGUACAGGGCAUCCCCCUCUCCCCCACAACCAAGUACUGUCCAGUUCCAAUGGCAACAAUGCUGAAUUAAAAACUCUGC
Long non-coding RNA from Marmota monax (woodchuck), 4896 nucleotides. RefSeq lists it as uncharacterized. The record is from RefSeq and is a predicted model, not a curated record. The transcript is spliced from 3 exons. Lineage: Eukaryota; Metazoa; Chordata; Mammalia; Rodentia; Sciuridae.